Molecule: long non-coding RNA, 313 nt
Filed under: Capsicum annuum
Lineage: Eukaryota; Viridiplantae; Streptophyta; Magnoliopsida; Solanales; Solanaceae
Description: long non-coding RNA (CANN_LNC019027)
Source: RNAcentral
ACCAGGUAGUUUGAACCCAUCUUAUUGGUAUUACUAUGAUAGGAGGGUUCGCGUCCCCCAUAUCACAUUUCAUGAUCGGGUGCUUAAGUCACCUUAGUAUAUUAUUGAAGGGUUUGAGUCCUCUGUGUGUGUGUGUAUAUAUAUAUAUAUAUAUAUAUGAAUUUCUCUAAUUCGUGUGGAUACAUGCAUUGGGGCCUGACCAGGGGGUGAGAACUGGGCACAUAAAGCCUGUGGGUACUAAUAUUAUGACAGUUAAGCUACACAGCCCAGGUUAAAGUUUUAAAUAGUCAUGAUAAGCCUUGUUCCCUUUCCC